GUCCACGCCAUAAACGAUGAGAACUAGAUGUCGGGAGGGUUAGCCUCUCGGUGUCGCAGCUAACGCGUUAAGUUCUCCGCCUGGGGAGUACGGGCCGCAAGGUUGAAAACUCAAAAGGAAUUGACGGGGACCCGCACAAGCGGUGGAGCAUGUGGUUUAAUUCGAUGCAACGCGAAGAACCUUACCUGGUCUUGACAUCCUAGGAAUCCUGCAGAGAUGCGGAGUGCCUUGGGAACCUGGAGACAGGUGCUGCAUGGCUGUCGU
RNAcentral lists this ribosomal RNA (264 nucleotides) under uncultured bacterium. Its description in RNAcentral is "partial 16S ribosomal RNA". It matches the Rfam family "Bacterial small subunit ribosomal RNA", at positions 793 to 1055 of the family's 1533-position model. The record is from RNAcentral.